AGCAGCCGCGGUAAUUCCAGCUCCAAUAGCGUAUAUUAAAGUUGUUGCAGUUAAAAAGCUCGUAGUUGAACUUCAGGCCUGUCCAGAUGGUCCGCCUUAAUUGGUGUGUACUGUCCUUGGGUGGGUCCUACCUUCUGGCGAAGCGGCAUGGCCUUAGUUGGUUGUGUCGGGGAACCAGGACUUUUACUGUGAAAAAAAUUAGAGUGUUCAAAGCAGGCAAAUAUGCUCGAAUACAUUAGCAUGGAAUAAUGGAAUAGGACGAUGGUUCUAUUUUGUUGGUUCUAGGACCGUUGUAAUGAUUAAUAGGGAUAGUUGGGGGCAUUAGUAUUCAAUUGUCAGAGGUGAAAUUCUUGGAUUUAUUGAAGACUAACUACUGCGAAAGCAUUUGCCAAGGAUGUUUUCAUUAAUCAAGAACGAAAGUUAGGGGAUCGAAGACGAUCAGAUACCGUCGUAGUCUUAACCAUAA
Molecule: ribosomal RNA, 466 nt
Filed under: uncultured Paraglomus
Lineage: Eukaryota; Fungi; Glomeromycota; Glomeromycetes; Paraglomerales; Paraglomeraceae
Description: bacterial SSU rRNA
Rfam family: Eukaryotic small subunit ribosomal RNA
Source: RNAcentral